Molecule: unclassified non-coding RNA, 240 nt
Filed under: soil metagenome
Description: partial contains 5.8S ribosomal RNA, internal transcribed spacer 2, and large subunit ribosomal RNA
Source: RNAcentral
AACAAGGCGUACCUGCGGACCUGCGGAGGGAUCAUUACAGAGUUGCAAAACUCCCUAAACCAUUGUGAACGUUACCUAAACCGUUGCUUCGGCGGGCGGCCCGGGUCCUUCCCGGCGCCCCUCGGCCCUCGCGGGCGCCCGCCGGAGGUAAACCAAACUAUUGCAUUGUAUGGCCUCUCUGAGUCUUCUGUACUGAAUAAGUCAAAACUUUUAGCAACGGAUCUCAGAUCGGAAGAGCAC